RNAcentral lists this ribosomal RNA (1489 nucleotides) under Streptococcus sp. Its description in RNAcentral is "bacterial SSU rRNA". It matches the Rfam family "Bacterial small subunit ribosomal RNA". Lineage: Bacteria; Bacillati; Bacillota; Bacilli; Lactobacillales; Streptococcaceae. The record is from RNAcentral.
GGGCCGGGGGCGGCGUGUCUAUACAUGCAGUAGAACGCUGAAGGAGGAGCUUGCUCUUCUGGAUGAGUUGCGAACGGGUGAGUAACGCGUAGGUAACCUGCCUGGUAGCGGGGGAUAACUAUUGGAAACGAUAGCUAAUACCGCAUAAUAUUGACUAUUGCAUGAUAGUCAAUUGAAAGGUGCAAAUGCACCACUACCAGAUGGACCUGCGUUGUAUUAGCUAGUUGGUGGAGCAACAGAACACCAAGCCGACAAGACAAAGCCGAACUCAAAGCCCCACACGCCAAACAGGGAAGCACACACGCCAAAGACUCCUAUCGGAAGGCCAGACCCAGUAAGGAAUCUUCAGCAAUGAACGGAAGUCUGGACCGAAGCAUACGCCCGCCGUGAAGUGAAGAAGAUUUUUCCGGAUUCGUUAAAGCUUCUGUUGUAAGAGAGAGAACCGAGUGGUGAAGAAGUGGAAAAGUUCACCACUGGGACCGGUAUUCUUACCAGAAAAGGGACGGCUAACUAACGUGCCAGCAGCCGCCGGUAAUACGUAGGUCCCGAGCGUUGUCCGGAAUUAUUGGGCGUAAAGCGAGCGCAGGCGGUAAGAUAAGUCUGAAGUUAAAAGGCUGUGGCUUUAACCAUAGUACGCUUUGGAAACUGUUUAACUUGAAGUGCAGAAGGGGAGAGUGGAAUUCCAUGUGUAGCGGUGAAAAUGCGUAGAUAUAUGGAGGAACACCGGUGGCGAAAGCGGCUCUCUGGUCUGUAACUGACGCUGAGGCUCGAAAGCGUGGGGAGCAAACAGGAUUAGAUACCCUGGUAGUCCACGCCGUAAACGAUGAGUGCUAGGUGUUGGGUCCUUUCCGGGACUCAGUGCCGCAGCUAACGCAUUAAGCACUCCGCCUGGGGAGUACGACCGCAAGGUUGAAACUCAAAGGAAUUGACGGGGGCCCGCACAAGCGGUGGAGCAUGUGGUUUAAUUCGAAGCAACGCGAAGAACCUUACCAGGUCUUGACAUCCCGGUGCCCGUCCUAGAGAUAGGAUUUUGCUUCGGCACACCGGUGACAGGUGGUGCAUGGUUGUCGUCAGCUCGUGUCGUGAGAUGUUGGGUUAAGUCCCGCAACGAGCGCAACCCUUAUUGUUAGUUGCCAUCAUUUAGUUGGGCACUCUAGCGAGACUGCCGGUAAUAAACCGGAGGAAGGUGGGGAUGACGUCAAAUCAUCAUGCCCCUUAUGACCUGGGCUACACACGUGCUACAAUGGCUGGUACAACGAGUUGCAAGUCGGUGACGGCAAGCUAAUCUCUUAAAGCCAGUCUCAGUUCGGAUUGUAGGCUGCAACUCGCCUACAUGAAGUCGGAAUCGCUAGUAAUCGCGGAUCAGCACGCCGCGGUGAAUACGUUCCCGGGCCUUGUACACACCGCCCGUCACACCACGAGAGUUUGUAACACCCGAAGUCGGUGAGGUAACCUUCAGGAGCCAGCCGCACUAAGGGUGGAAUGAAGU